Molecule: ribosomal RNA, 492 nt
Filed under: uncultured bacterium
Lineage: Bacteria
Description: partial 16S ribosomal RNA
Rfam family: Bacterial small subunit ribosomal RNA
Source: RNAcentral
AGUGAACGCUGGCGGUAGGCCUAACACAUGCAAGUCGAACGGCAGCACAGUAAGAGCUUGCUCUUACGGGUGGCGAGUGGCGUACGGGUGCGGAAUACCUCGGAAUCUACUUUUUCGUGGGGGAUAACGUAGGGAAACUUACGCUAAUACCGCAUACGACCUACGGGUGAAAGCAGGGGAUCUUCGGACCUUGCGCGACUGAAUGAGCCGAUGUCGGAUUAGCUAGUUGGCGGGGUAAAGGCCCACCAAGCCGACGAUCCGUAGCUGGUCUGAGAGGAGGAUCAGCCACACUGGAAGUGAGACACGGUCCAGACUCCUACGGGAGGCAGCAGUGGGGAAUAGUGGACAAUGGGCGGAAGCCUGAUCCAGCCAUCCCGCGUGGGUGAAGAAGGCCUUCGGGUUGUAAAGCCCUUUUGUUGGGAAAGAAAAGCAGCAGGUUAAUACCGCGCUGUUCUGACGGUACCCAAAGAAUAAGCACCGGCUAACUUCGUG